AAACCAACUGGGAUUACCUUAGUAACGGCGAGUGAAGCGGUAAAAGCUCAAAUUUGAAAUCUGGUACUUUCAGUGCCCGAGUUGUAAUUUGUAGAAUUUGUCUUUGAUUAGGUCCUUGUCUAUGUUCCUUGGAACAGGACGUCAUAGAGGGUGAGAAUCCCGUUUGGCGAGGAUACCUUUUCUCUGUAAGACUUUUUCGAAGAGUCGAGUUGUUUGGGAAUGCAGCUCAAAGUGGGUGGUAAAUUCCAUCUAAAGCUAAAUAUUGGCGAGAGACCGAUAGCGAACAAGUACAGUGAUGGAAAGAUGAAAAGAACUUUGAAAAGAGAGUGAAAAAGUACGUGAAAUUGUUGAAAGGGAAGGGCAUUUGAUCAGACAUGGUGUUUUUUGCAUGCACUCGCCUCUCGUGGGCUUGGGCCUCUCAAAAAUUUCACUGGGCCAACAUCAAUUCUGGCAGUAGGAUAAAUCAUUAAGAAUGUAGCUACCUCGGUAGUGUUAUAGCUUAUUGGAAUACUGCU
RNAcentral lists this ribosomal RNA (515 nucleotides) under uncultured Hanseniaspora. RNAcentral describes it as "eukaryotic LSU rRNA". It matches the Rfam family "Eukaryotic large subunit ribosomal RNA", at positions 62 to 576 of the family's 3401-position model. The record is from RNAcentral. Lineage: Eukaryota; Fungi; Ascomycota; Saccharomycetes; Saccharomycodales; Saccharomycodaceae.